Molecule: ribosomal RNA, 828 nt
Filed under: uncultured bacterium
Lineage: Bacteria
Description: bacterial SSU rRNA
Rfam family: Bacterial small subunit ribosomal RNA
Source: RNAcentral
AGAGUUUGAUCAUGGCUCAGGACGAACGCUGGCGGCGUGCCUAAUACAUGCAAGUCGAGCGAGCUUGCCUAGAUGAUUUUAGUGCUUGCACUAAAUGAAACUAGAUACAAGCGAGCGGCGGACGGGUGAGUAACACGUGGGUAACCUGCCCAAGAGACUGGGAUAACACCUGGAAACAGAUGCUAAUACCGGAUAACAACACUAGACGCAUGUCUAGAGUUUGAAAGAUGGUUCUGCUAUCACUCUUGGAUGGACCUGCGGUGCAUUAGCUAGUUGGUAAGGUAACGGCUUACCAAGGCAAUGAUGCAUAGCCGAGUUGAGAGACUGAUCGGCCACAUUGGGACUGAGACACGGUCCAAACUCCUACGGGAGGCAGCAGUAGGGAAUCUUCCACAAUGGACGAAAGUCUGAUGGAGCAACGCCGCGUGAGUGAAGAAGGGUUUCGGCUCGUAAAGCUCUGUUGGUAGUGAAGAAAGAUAAAGGUAGUAACUGGCCUUUAUUUGACGGUAAUUACUUAGAAAGUCACGGCUAACUACGUGCCAGCAGCCGCGGUAAUACGUAGGUGGCAAGCGUUGUCCGGAUUUAUUGGGCGUAAAGCGAGUGCAGGCGGUUCAAUAAGUCUGAUGUGAAAGCCUUCGGCUCAACCGGAGAAUUGCAUCAGAAACUGUUGAACUUGAGUGCAGAAGAGGAGAGUGGAACUCCAUGUGUAGCGGUGGAAUGCGUAGAUAUAUGGAAGAACACCAGUGGCGAAGGCGGCUCUCUGGUCUGCAACUGACGCUGAGGCUCGAAAGCAUGGGUAGCGAACAGGAUUAGAUACCCUGGUAGUCC